Molecule: ribosomal RNA, 321 nt
Filed under: Clostridioides difficile
Lineage: Bacteria; Bacillati; Bacillota; Clostridia; Peptostreptococcales; Peptostreptococcaceae
Description: partial 23S ribosomal RNA
Rfam family: Bacterial large subunit ribosomal RNA
Source: RNAcentral
UGUGAUGGGGAGCGAAAUUUAGUAGCGAAGUAGCUGAUUUCACACUGUCAAGAAAAGUCUCUAUCGAGGUUAAAGGUACCCGUACCGCAAACCGACACAGGUGGGUGAGGAGAGUAUCCUAAGGCCAGCGAGAGAACUGUUGUUAAGGAACUCGGCAAAAUGACCCCGUAACUUAGGGAUAAGGGGUGCCACCAUCAGGUGGCCGCAGAGAAUAGGCCCAAGCGACUGUUUACCAAAAACAUAGGUUUCUGCUAAGUCGCAAGACGAUGUAUAGGAGCUGACGCCUGCCCGGUGCUGGAAGGUUAAGGGGAUCUGUUAGAG